This is a non-coding RNA of Podarcis lilfordi (Lilford's wall lizard), 73 nucleotides long. The record is from the annotation of a GenBank genome assembly. NCBI's taxonomy places the organism in Eukaryota, Metazoa, Chordata, Lepidosauria, Squamata, Lacertidae.
GUCAUAUAACUCAGUAGUUUUGAAUGUGGUGCUGAUAACGCCAGGGUUGCAGGUUUGAUGCCUGUAUGGGACA